This 490-nucleotide ribosomal RNA is filed under the name uncultured bacterium. Its description in RNAcentral is "partial 16S ribosomal RNA". It matches the Rfam family "Bacterial small subunit ribosomal RNA", at positions 28 to 507 of the family's 1533-position model. The record is from RNAcentral.
GAUGAACGCUAGCGGCAGGCCUAAUACAUGCAAGUCGAACGGGAUCCAGAUCAAAGCUUGCUUUGGUUUGGUGAGAGUGGCGCACGGGUGCGUAACGCGUGAGCAACCUACCCUUGUCAGGGGGAUAGCCCGGCGAAAGUCGGAUUAAUACCGCAUGACAUCAUUGAGAGGCAUCUUUCGAUGAUCAAAGAUUUAUCGGACAAGGAUGGGCUCGCGUGACAUUAGCUAGUUGGUAAGGUAACGGCUUACCAAGGCUACGAUGUCUAGGGGCUCUGAGAGGAGAAUCCCCCACACUGGUACUGAGACACGGACCAGACUCCUACGGGAGGAAGCAGUAAGGAAUAUUGGUCAAUGGACGGAAGUCUGAACCAGCCAUGCCGCGUGCAGGAAGACGGCCCUAUGGGUUGUAAACUGCUUUUAUACGGGAACAAACGUCGGUACGUGUACCGGUCUGAGUGUACCGUAAGAAUAAGGAUCGGCUAACUCCGUG